AAUGAGCUUCACAAGUACAAAUUCAUUACAAACCAAAGCACUAACUGGAGAGUAUGAUUGAUCAUAGACAAUAAGGUGAGGCCAUCCAUGAAUAGCAAAAUGGAACACUGCAUUAUAAGUAACAGGGCAUAUGAAAAGCGAUGCUAAGAUAGAAGAGGCCUUUCCAUCCAACACGCGAUGAAGACCAGUAAUUAACAUUUACUUUCUGGAUUGGAGGAUGAUUCUUGAACUGAAGAUGAAAAAACAGAGGAGCAUUGACGAUAGAAGUACCGAUACAAUUUUUGAAGCUUGUAUUUACGUGUAAAAACCAAUUAGCAUGAGUGAGCGGUUAUAGGAUGCAGCUCAUCAAUCAUGUACAUUGUUGUUUUCUUACCGAACAAACAUCAAGUGGAAAAACUACAAACAAGUCACUGUCGUGGCACAUCAUCAUUCUUGGAACUGGAAAUAAAGAAAGGUCUAAAUUGGCAGUAAUAUGGCAUGAAACAGAAUUAAAUAGUACUCAAGUCCAGCAGAUUAUAUAGCUUACACUAAGCGGAAAAAUACACUCAACUGGGGUCAUACUUUCUACUCCAUAACGCUUAGAACCGAGGGGAGUUAACAAAUCAGUAAUAGUAAAUACACUCAAAAUUACAAUUUGUUAUUAUCUUCGUUGAACGACCAAAAUUAGCAACACAAUCAGAGGGCCGUAUAGGCCUCUACGUUUAAUAACAGAAAAGGUAGGGUCCAUGUAGGCAUCUACGUUUAAUAACAGAAAAGGUAGACAUUAAAUAUACAGAAUCAUGAGAAUGUAUGUUCUUACAUUGAAAAGAUGUUCAUCGCCGUCAUUGGAAGGAGGCACAAAGAGACACCUAAUUUUCAGAUGUAUAACAGUAUAAGCACAUUUUACACUCACUAUGACAUAAGCAGAAAUGGACCACACUAUAGUCUGUUUACUACAUGUUCUCAGUCCAUCUACUAUAGUCCAGUUAAUUACUGCAUGCUCAUUUCCUCUACAUGUGAAUAUAUAUGUAACAUCGAGAACAUGAUAUAUAUCUUGGGGUCUGGGAUAACACAUCUAUAUCCUAGGUAGACAUCCAGGUCUCCUAUAAAAUUAGGAACAAUAAAAGCAUAAAAUACCAAGAUUACUAUGAUUUUGUUUAACUCGAGGCAUCAAAUGUUCACGCAAAAGAUAAGAUCAUAAUAAAAAGGACCAACAUAUUUCCAAUAGAACUCACCUUCUAAUUUUUUUGGGGAUUCUUUUGGUACACAACAUAAGCCUUCAAACAUUUGAGCACAUGGUAUAUCUUGAAAACUACAGCACCUUGUGCAAACCAACCAGCACAAAAGACACAAUGCAUUUUCUUUUUUUUCAGAAACACCACUUUUGGCAACAGAAAACAAAUUAUAGUGGAAAUAAAUAAGAACACAUUGGCAUUCUUUGGGUUCUUGACAUGGUAGCAAGGAAAAAGCACAUGCUUGACCAGGCAAAUUAGAAUUGGCGAGAUACUAAGAAGCACAACACAAACUGAUCAGCAGUAUAAUCUUAUUGGCAUCACCCAAGUAGUACGCAUGUAUACCAUUGCAAAGUUAUUGGCAUCCUAAACUGCAGUUGACGCAUACACCAAGUCACACAUACAGAACUGCAAGUGUAUUUUCUUUUCAUAGAUAAACAAACUUAACUAUCUCAGCAAGUACCAAAACAUAAAUGAUCUCACUAUCUUUAUCAAGUCAUACCAAAUAAAA
RNAcentral lists this long non-coding RNA (1722 nucleotides) under Triticum aestivum (bread wheat). Its description in RNAcentral is "long non-coding RNA (TAES_LNC002336)". Lineage: Eukaryota; Viridiplantae; Streptophyta; Magnoliopsida; Poales; Poaceae. The record is from RNAcentral.